UACCUGCAGCCCGAGUGGUGAUCGAUUUUAUUGAGCCUAAAGCGUCCGUAGCCGGACCAGUAAACCCUUGGGUAAAUUGGGCAGCUUAACUGUCCAACUUCCGAGGGGACUGCUGGUCUUGGGACCGGGAGAGGUCAGAGGUACUCCAGGGGUAGGGGCUAAAUCCUGUAAUCCUUGGGGGACCACCAGUGGCGAAGGCGUCUGACUAGAACGGAUCCGACGGUAAGGGACGAAACCCUGGGGCGCGAACCGGAUUAGAUACCCGGGUAGUCCAGGGCGUAAACGCUGCAGGCUUGGUGUUGGGGACCCUACGAGGGUGCCCAGUGCCGGAGUGAAGAUGUUAAGCCUGCCGCUUGGGGAGUACGUCCGCAAGGAUGAAACUUAAAGGAAUUGGCGGGAGAGCACAGCAACGGGAGGAGCGUGCGGUUC
Molecule: ribosomal RNA, 429 nt
Filed under: uncultured archaeon
Lineage: Archaea
Description: bacterial SSU rRNA
Rfam family: Archaeal small subunit ribosomal RNA
Source: RNAcentral